Molecule: long non-coding RNA, 1200 nt
Filed under: Oryctolagus cuniculus (rabbit)
Lineage: Eukaryota; Metazoa; Chordata; Mammalia; Lagomorpha; Leporidae
Description: lncRNA (ENSOCUG00000035030.1)
Source: RNAcentral
GGAUUUCUUGCUGUGCAAAUCGUUAACCAUCUUAACCAGCUUUACCACCCUAGUUCAAAAUGAACACCAUGGAAGCCUGAUUCGUGAGAAAGCUGAGUUUUAUUUUUACAUGUUGACAUCAGAACUGUCUCAAUAAUUAAAUUAAAAAGUAGCCACACAUUCAAAAGAUUGAAAGGAAAACUAAUGUUAAAUAAAGAGAACUGAGGGACAACAUCAUUAAUGGCCCAAAAAAAAAUGAGUAAGAAAGAAAUAAUUUCUACCUGCUUCCUUACCAAAUAUUUUUUCCUAAUCCCUAAAAGUCUGAGAUUAUUAUAACAUACUGUAGAAUAUGUGAUACAUAUCACAAUGCAGACUUGUAUCAAAACAUCACUUGUCCAAUUUCAGUCUUUGUCAACUAAAGCUAAAAAAUGUGAUAAAAUACUUUUCUAUUGGCAGAAUGGGAUCAUACAACUUUUUUGCCAAAUUGCUUGAAAGCCAUCGCAGAGACUAUCAAAAUGUCAUAAAGCAUGGCCCAUUCAUUCUGAUUUAAACAUUCUUUGAAAUCAGUAAUUCAAAAUGUGAAAAUCUUGCCUUAAGAUGUUCCUAGCUGUAUUAUUUACUGACACCUAGAAGCAAUCUAAAUGUCCAACAUUGUAUACAUAUACACUGAAUGGAAGAUUAAGCUUUUAAAAUUGAUUAGUAUGUACGUGUUGGGGCAUGAAUGAAUUUUCUCUACGUGUUUUUAUUUAUUUAUUUAUUUAUUUUGGUAUGUGCUAUGUUGCCCUUUCGAGGUUAUUGGGUUUCUUUACAUUUUUUCUUUUUUCUCAAUGUGGCAUUUGAAGGAGAAAUACACACACUCGAGCUGCCACUCUGAGCCACAGUCAGGUGACGCACACCUGCGCUGUGCUGCCCUGGCUCUCCGCUGUUGGAAACACGGGGCGCCCUCUCUUACAGCACGGGUCGUGGUGAGGGCGGUGGUCGCGGGUAUUCUAAAGCGAGUUCUUGUGGGAAACACGGCUGUGCGAGACGUCCGCGAGGCACCGGGAAGCACCUGCAGCCGCGGCCUGCCUUGGGGACAAUAAUCCGCUUCCCCGCCCCACCUCUGGGUGGUGCCGAGUGUGUUUCCCCUGCUGCAAUCCCCGCUCUCUACCGAAUGAGUUUCUGGAACCAAACUGCCUACAACCGUGCGCCCUCAUCUUGUUCCAAGGUCAAACCAAACGU